Molecule: non-coding RNA, 524 nt
Organism: Danio rerio (zebrafish)
Lineage: Eukaryota; Metazoa; Chordata; Actinopteri; Cypriniformes; Danionidae
Source: RefSeq, a predicted model, not a curated record
AACCUGAGCUAUGUUGUUUGCCAGGUUGCCUGCCAUUCUUGUUACGUAUCAUGUGGUUCAGACCGUAUCCUGAAGAUGUCGCUGUAGUUUCACUUCAUUAUUUAUUCGCCACAGCGGUUAUUCGCUGUAGCUACGUCAGGGGGCGAUGUUGAUCAACAAAUCGGUGUUCUUACCUCGUGGAAAACGCAAGAGAAGCCAAGUCAUUUUGUGCUGACUUUUGUGACAUUUGUUUGGACUCCAGGAUAGGAUUACGGUACAGUACCUGUAACAUCUUGAAACCAAUGUUUCCUUCAACUGCUUAGUCAAACAGUCCCGCUCUACCUGUGAAUGGCCUGCAUACAGUUUUUUCUGCAUAUUAAACUUGCAUUCAGGAAAAAUCCAGACAUCAAAAAGACUCGAACCCCAUCGUCCCUGUCAACUCUGCUCCACAUCACAAGUCCGCCGACAUAUACAGCGAGCCACUGGAUAAAUCGGUAACAGCGGAAAAGCCGUCCACAUGGAGGUAAGCGGUCAGCUAAAAUGGA